This is a non-coding RNA of Annulohypoxylon moriforme, 84 nucleotides long. Lineage: Eukaryota; Fungi; Ascomycota; Sordariomycetes; Xylariales; Hypoxylaceae. The record is from the annotation of a GenBank genome assembly.
GCAUCUAUGGAGUAGAAGUUAACUCGCCCCCCUCCCAUUAAUAAAGGUAUGGGGGAAACCCGGGUGCAAGUCCCGGUGGGUGCA